This is a long non-coding RNA of Saccostrea echinata, 1608 nucleotides long. RefSeq lists it as uncharacterized. The transcript is spliced from 4 exons. NCBI's taxonomy places the organism in Eukaryota, Metazoa, Mollusca, Bivalvia, Ostreida, Ostreidae. The record is from RefSeq and is a predicted model, not a curated record.
AAAAUGGCGGCCUCCAUGAAAAGCUGUACUCUGCAAAGUUAUUUUGAUGCAUCAUGUGGUGUUCAUUGCAAAUAUCUGUGUGAAUUGAGUAAAAAUGAUUGAAAGGAAUUUACAAGAACAGAUUGGACAUGGAGCUCGUGUAAAUUAAGAGGAAAAAAAAUCCGUGAAACGAAAAAGUGUAGCUUGGGAAUAUUACUGUCAUCGUGUUGAUAAGGGUAUCAGCAAUUUUCCUUAUUACUGACAUCAGUAUGGUCUAUGUCGGAAGUUUAGCUUCUAAGUUAAUCCACCAGAAUCCAAGAGUAAGCCCUCAGAGAGGAGUUGCAGUCCGACUGUGUCAGCAUACUCAACUUGGAGAGGGAAGAUAAUGUACCGGCGCCACCGGUACAUUUGGACAGCUGUUUGAACAGCUUGAUAGAAUGAUCAAGAACUUGUUUGACUGAAGAGAUAGAAUGAAAAGGGAAGACCCAAAAGUGUUUUAUAACAGAAUGCGCAAGAUGGUUUGCAUCAUGGUUAUGAAGGAAAAGCUGACAGUAUUUUUGAGACAGCAAGAAAAACAUCAUUGCACACCACCAACUAAUAAGACUCCAAAGGAAUAACAAAGAUUAGAGUUCAAAGAAUGCUGGUACUUGGAUAAAGAUAAUCAGGCAUGGACUUUCAUCUCCCAUGGAUCUUCAGCACCUUUAGGUUACAGUUUUAUAUUUCACUAGAAGAGACUCAUAAAUAAACAAAGGACAGUCAGUUACUACAAAAGAGAAGCAUCGGAGAUUACUGAUAUUUUGUUCAGCAUUAUUUCAUCUUAAAAGAUGUAAACUAUUAAAAUUUUGUUUACAUCUAUCAAUUAAUGAUUUUGAUACAUGUACCAGUAAUUAAUAAUUUUGAUGUGGGAUAAACUGGUAAAAUUGAAUGGAAAAGAAGCAGAUGACUUGGUAAUGAUGUGUAAAAAACAUCAUUCAUUUAAUUAAUACAUGUAAUUGCAUGCAGUUAAAAUUCGACCAAAAUUCUUGUGGUGUAUAUUGAAAGGUGUAACCAAGAGGGAAACAUAAAAUGAUUUUCAUAUUAUCAUUAAAAUAAAAGUCAAGUUGUAUAUUAUACAAUUAUUUCUGUUUUUGAGGUCAUUACAAUGGUUUGGCUUGCCUAAAUGUAUGCAUUCACCGAUCCUAAAGAAGGAAGUAAAUAUUGUCCCUCGAUGGUUGUUGGAUCAAUAUAUUAACACCCCCCCCCCCCCUAAAAUAAAUAAAUAAAUGCAAUUUCAAUUUUUGUAUAAUACCCUAUGUAUCAUACCCAUAGGGUAUGGUGUGUGCGAAACAAGCGUGACCUUUUGAUUUGCAUUGGCUGUUGGACUUUAAAAAGAACUUAUAGGCUGAAAAAAACCCUCAAAAAUGGGAUAUGAUACUGUUUUUGUAAAUAUGGAUUAUCUCCCUUUUCAGCUUAAAAUUAGAACAUUUUACUGGUCAUGAAAAUAUUUUGAUUAAAUGAAAAGUAAAAUUGUGUUGUAUUUCAAAUUAGAAAAUUGAGAAAAAUUUUUUGAAAUGUCAAUUUAUUCUUACAUGCAUACCUGGUAUAUAUUCAUGAUAUGUGUAUAGGGCAUAGUUAUUGUACUGUGACAAA